Long non-coding RNA from Octopus sinensis (East Asian common octopus), 124 nucleotides. RefSeq lists it as uncharacterized. The transcript is spliced from 3 exons. The record is from RefSeq and is a predicted model, not a curated record. NCBI's taxonomy places the organism in Eukaryota, Metazoa, Mollusca, Cephalopoda, Octopoda, Octopodidae.
AGCAGGGCUUCAUUAGCGAGAUAUCCCUUGAGACACUUCUGCACCGAGGGAUGUACCACAGCAAGUUGUACAAUAUACCACCUGAGUGGGAUCAAUGCAAGGUGGCAGUGCAUACAGAUGACAU